This 74-nucleotide transfer RNA is filed under the name Bacillus safensis. RNAcentral's name for it is "tRNA-Trp". It matches the Rfam family "tRNA". From Rfam's summary of the family: Transfer RNA (tRNA) molecules are approximately 80 nucleotides in length. Their secondary structure includes four short double-helical elements and three loops (D, anti-codon, and T loops). Further hydrogen bonds mediate the characteristic L-shaped molecular structure. tRNAs have two regions of fundamental functional importance: the anti-codon, which is responsible for specific mRNA codon recognition, and the 3' end, to which the tRNAs corresponding amino acid is attached (by aminoacyl-tRNA synthetases). tRNAs cope with the degeneracy of the genetic code in two manners: having more than one tRNA (with a specific anti-codon) for a particular amino acid; and 'wobble' base-pairing, i.e. permitting non-standard base-pairing at the 3rd anti-codon position. Lineage: Bacteria; Bacillati; Bacillota; Bacilli; Caryophanales; Bacillaceae. The record is from RNAcentral.
AUGAGCUUAGUGUAGUGGUAGCAUAACAGUCUCCAAAACUGUUGGGAAAGGUUCAAGUCCUUUAGCUCAUGCCA